AGAGCAAGCGAGAGAGAGAGAGAAAGUAUAAAUUAUUUAUGAGUGGAAAAACAUGAUUGAUGUGGGAUAUUUCAUUUCCCGUAAGCGUACACACACGCAUGCCAGAAGCCUUCUGGACUUCCUCUUGGCCUUCAAUGGACAAACAGGGUCUUUUUCAGAGGAAAAGUAAAACUCAAUUGCAUACAGAAACACAUUCAAACACACACACACACACACACACACACACACACACACACACACACACCUGUCCUGCUGGCCCAAGGUGCUGAGGUUUGUUUUCUGGUUGUUUUCAGGGACGGCGUCUGGGAGUAAAAUACGCACCAGGCUCAUAUUCCCUUCAGAGCUCAAAAACAACUUCCACAGAGGAUUUACUGUCAGGAUGGAAACGAUCUACCGAGCCACUGACCAGGAAACGUGUACUACAGGCCAGAAAGAGUGCGCUUCGGGUUCACCGCUGUUUUCCUGGACUUCAGGGAAUGUAGCUGAACUGAAGCCAGAAGAGAAACAGCAUGCUGACUUUAAAGUGUGAGACUUGGAAAGUUGGAGAUUCUGGUUACAAAGGGCAUGUGAAGAGAGGAGAGGAAAACAGAAUGCAAGACAUGAGAGCAUGUGCUUUCAUCCUCAGCACAGCAGGAAAGUACUCAACCAUGUCAAUCCCAGGGACAGCAGCUGCCACACACACACACACACACACACACACACACACACACACACACACACACACACAAAGAAUGUUUGCCUUACUAUCCUUGUGAGUACCUUUCACUAACAAUGAUUUCUGUAGCUAAAUAAUGCUAUACCUAAACCUAAACCUCAUUAGCCAAAAAGAAACCUUCUAGCUUUUUUUUUUUUUUUUUAACAAUAAAACCUGUAGUUUUGCAUAAAUUAAUAAAUACACAAAUAAAGCAGUUUUGUUCAUGCAGACCAGACAAAUAUCUGUCAACAUAUUUUAGGCAUGAUCAAGAUUUCUGGCUUUCUCCUCAACUAAUUAAAUAUAAUUAUAUUUAGUUAUUAUAAUUAAUAAUUAUUAUAAUUAGUUAAUUGGCUAAAUAUCAUUAGAUAUUUUUACUGGUGGAUUAAAUUACAAGCUCCACAUUCAUAUUGUAUGUGUUAAGUACAUAUGUGUUUUUUUUUACGUAUACUCUGCUGUCAUAUUUAUUACAUACAAGUCUAAUUGUGCUUAUGUUUGAUAAUAAUUGCUUAAUUGCUCAAUUAAUGACUAAGAAACAAUCACAUUUUAUUUAAAACAGUGGUUGUCACUGAGAAGUGGGAUCCAGAGACCCCCAGAAUUCAGUAAAGCAUAUAGUAUUAGCUUGUUUGACUGAUAACUGAACUGAAUGGGUUUAAUAACAAGGAGGCCCAAAUAUGUUCAUAAAAUGUUUUGUCAGAGGGGGAAAAAAAAUAAUCCAAUAAAAACUCUAUAAAUCUAUUAAAUAGCACAAAUAUAAUUGCACACAUUGAAAUAAGGAGUAAAAUAUUUGAAUACUUGAACUCUGUACUGAUGGGUUCUAUAAUUUAUUUUAGAAUUAUUUUAGUUAUAUAAUUUAUUUUACAGUUAAAGCGUCCCAGGUCCCUGUCUACAAAAUAGAACUCCUGAUUCAAAGGACUGAAGUAAUGUAGGUUUAUCCUGCACAAUGUGAAAAUAUACAACAAUUUCAAUAACAAUUAUCAUGCAGCCCUACGCAGUCAAGUGUCAAUCAAGCUUGAAAUAUUAACCGUGACUGAGAACAUUCAGUCCGAGUCAGACCUGAUCCACUGCAUUAAAAAUCAAAUCCAAAUCAGAUUAGAUCUGAACUGAAUUUUGUCUGAAAUCCCGAUCUGAACCGAACGCCACGGCUGCUUUACCUCAGUUGCACCCAUUCUCUCGCACACGUGCUGUAAAGCAGCCGACAGUGCCAACAACUCGAGUGACUCCAGCAUGCCAGGUAAAAAAAAAAUAUGCAAAAGGUAAUAAAAGUAGGCAGGAAAACCAAAGUAGAGGGAAAAAAUAAAGUAGGUGGGAUUGCAGGCCAAAAACCUUGGAAUGGGAGAAAGUCCAACAAAUUUUUGAGAAUGAUAUCCGAAUCCAACCAGACUAACUGGAUGUGGACAGCCAUCUCAAUCUCCAACACACAGACAUCCCAGCGACCUCGACACACCUUUCCAAUCUAAUAAUCAUGGCCUUGUAAAAGUGGAUUAAGUAUGACCUUCCAGGGAAAACACUGAACAUUCUGUCCUUAUAAAAGUGUAUUUUACUGUAAAGAGAAAAUGGGCUGUCUGAGCCUUCAAACUUAGUCCUGGUUAAAAUAGUUUAUGGACAUACACUCCUACAUUACACAAAUAUAAUCAUCACUGUGGUUCAAAGCAGAGAAGGUUUUAAUACUAUUCUUGAAUGAAAUAGCUCGCUGAAUCAAACCUAACCUUAAUUUUCAUUAUAUAAAUGGGUGAAAGGUGACAUAUUAAAGGAAAAAAAAUCAACAUAAAGUAUGCUAGUAAGGUGCUGUAUCUUCACGAGCCACCAGAACAGCUUCAGCGAGCCAUAGCACAGAUUCUACACGUCUCUGAAACUGUACUGGCGCAACAGAGCACCAAAAGAU
Pangasianodon hypophthalmus (striped catfish) is the source of this 2576-nucleotide long non-coding RNA. RefSeq lists it as uncharacterized. The transcript has 3 exons. The record is from RefSeq and is a predicted model, not a curated record. Lineage: Eukaryota; Metazoa; Chordata; Actinopteri; Siluriformes; Pangasiidae.